This 486-nucleotide ribosomal RNA is filed under the name uncultured bacterium. Its description in RNAcentral is "bacterial SSU rRNA". It matches the Rfam family "Bacterial small subunit ribosomal RNA", at positions 28 to 511 of the family's 1533-position model. The record is from RNAcentral.
GAUGAACGCUAGCGGCAGGCUUAAUACAUGCAAGUCGAGGGGCAGCACGAAUAGCAAUAUUUGGUGGCGACCGGCGCACGGGUGCGUAACACGUAUACAACCUACCUAUAACAGGGGGAUAGCCUUUCGAAAGAGAGAUUAAUACCCCGUAAUAAAUUGAAUGGCAUCAUUUGAUUUUGAAAGCUACGGCGGUUAUAGAUGGGUAUGCGUCUGAUUAGCUAGUUGGUGAGGUAAUGGCUCACCAAGGCGACGAUCAGUAGGGGAUCUGAGAGGACUAACCCCCANACUGGUACUGAGACACGGACCAGACUCCUACGGGAGCAGCAGUAAGGAAUAUUGGUCAAUGGAGGCAACUCUGAACCAGCCAUGCCGCGUGCAGGAUGACGGCCCUAUGGGUUGUAAACUGCUUUUGUACCAGAGAAAACCUACUCACGUGUGAGUAGCUGAUAGUAUGGUAAGAAUAAGCAUCGGCUAACUUCGUGCCAG